UACGGGGGGGGCAAGCGUUGCUCGGAAUUAUUGGGCGUAAAGGGUAGGUAGGUGGUCUCAUUUGUCAGGGGUGAAAGCCUUGGGCUUAACCCAAGAAGUGCCCCUGAAACGGUGAGACUAGAGUUCUGGAGAGGGUCGUGGAAUUCCCGGUGUAGCGGUGAAAUGCGUAGAGAUCGGGAGGAACACCAGAGGCGAAGGCGGCGACCUGGACAGAUACUGACACUCAACUACGAAAGCGUGGGGAGCAAACAGG
RNAcentral lists this ribosomal RNA (253 nucleotides) under uncultured bacterium. RNAcentral's name for it is "partial 16S ribosomal RNA". It matches the Rfam family "Bacterial small subunit ribosomal RNA", at positions 524 to 776 of the family's 1533-position model. The record is from RNAcentral.